RNAcentral lists this ribosomal RNA (1515 nucleotides) under metagenome. RNAcentral describes it as "bacterial SSU rRNA". It matches the Rfam family "Bacterial small subunit ribosomal RNA". The record is from RNAcentral.
AGAGUUUGAUCCUGGCUCAGAACGAACGCUGGCGGCGUGGAUUAGGCAUGCAAGUCGAACGGGAUUUCGGAAGUAGCAAUAUUUUCGAAGUUCAGUGGCGAAAGGGCGAGUAACACGUGGGCAAUCUGCCUCUAAGUUUGGGAUAACUUGGCGAAAGCUGGGCUAAUACCGAAUGUGGUCAUCCCCCGCAUGGGGGGUUAUCUGAAGUCGGGGACCGCAAGGCCUGACGCUUGGAGAUGAGCCCGCGUCCUAUCAGCUUGUUGGUGAGGUAACGGCUCACCAAGGCUAACGGGUAGCUGGUCUGAGAGGAUGGUCAGCCGCACUGGGACUGAGACACUGCCCAGACUCCUACGGGAGGCUGCAGUCGGGAAUCAUUCGCAAUGGGCGCAAGCCUGACGAUGCGACGCCGCGUGCAGGAUGAAGGUCUUCGGAUUGUAAACUGCUGUGACGGGGGAGCAAUGCGGAACGUGCUAACACCACGUAACGUUGAUAGUACCCCGAGAGGAAGCCACGGCUAACUCUGUGCCAGCAGCCGCGGUAAUACAGAGGUGGCGAGCGUUGUUCGGAUUUACUGGGCGUAAAGGGUGCGUAGGCGGCUCUGUGUGUCGGAUGUGAAAUCCCACGGAUCAUCUGUGGAACGGCAUUCGAAACUGCAGGGCUUGGGUGCAGGAGAGGAAAGCGGAAUUCUCGGUGUAGCGGUGAAAUGCGUUGAUAUCGAGAGGAACGCCGGUGGUGAAGACGGCUUUCUGGAAUGCAACUGACGCUGAGGCACGAAAGUCAGGGGAGCAAACAGGAUUAGAUACCCUGUUAGUCCUGACUGUAAACGGUGCGAACUUGAUGUGGGAGGAUUUUCCCCUUCCGUAUCGCAGCUAACGCGAUAAGUUCGCCGCCUGGGGAGUACGACCGCAAGGUUAAAACUCAAAGGAAUUGACGGGGGCCCGCACAAGCGGUGGAGCAUGUGGCUCAAUUCGAUCCACGCGAAGAACCUUACCUGGGUUUGACAUGCGGCUGGAUGCCCGUCGAAAGAUGGGAGGCCUUCGAGGCUGCCGCACAGGUGCUGCACGGCUGUCGUCAGCUCGUGCCGUGAGGUGUUAGGUUAAGUCCUGCAACGAGCGCAACCCCUGUGAUUAGUUGCCAGCACGUAAUGGUGGGCACUCUAGUCAGACUGCCUGUGAUAAGCAGGAGGAAGGUGGGGAUGACGUCAAGUCAGUAUGGUCCUUAUAUCCAGGGCUGCACACGUGCUACAAUGAAGGGUACAGAAAGAUGCAAGACCGCGAGGUGGAGCAAAUCUCAAAAACCCUUCCCAGUUCAGAUUGGAGUCUGCAACUCGACUCCAUGAAGCCGGAAUCGCUAGUAAUGGCGCAUCAGCUUCGGCGCCGUGAAUACGCUCCCGGGCCUUGUACACACCGCCCGUCACAUCCUGAAAGCCGGUCACACCCAAAGUGGCUGUUUCAACCGCAAGGGGAUAGGUCCCUAAGGUGUGGUUGGUGAUUGGGAUGAAGUCGGAACAAGGUA